GGAAAUCUCACCAGGCCCGGACACUGGAAGGAUUGACAGAUUGAUAGCUCUUUCUUCAGUGGGUGGUGGUGCAUGGCCGUUCUUAGUUGGUUGAGUGAUUUGUCUUGUUAAUUCCGUUAACGAACGAGACCUUAACCUGCUAAAUAGUGACGCGGUUCAUCGAACCGUGGGCCACUUCUUAGAGGGACUAUCGGAUUCAAACCGAUGGAAGUGUGAGGCAAUAA
RNAcentral lists this ribosomal RNA (224 nucleotides) under uncultured eukaryote. RNAcentral describes it as "partial 18S ribosomal RNA". It matches the Rfam family "Eukaryotic small subunit ribosomal RNA", at positions 1208 to 1456 of the family's 1831-position model. The record is from RNAcentral.